GAUGAACGCUGGCGGCGUGCUUAACACAUGCAAGUCGAACGGAAAGGCUCCUGCUUGCAGGGGUACUCGAGUGGCGAACGGGUGAGUAACACGUGGGUGAUCUGCCCUGCACUUCGGGAUAAGCCUGGGAAACUGGGUCUAAUACCGGAUAGGACGAUGGUUUGGAUGCCAUUGUGGAAAGUUUUUCGGUGUGGGAUGAGCUCGCGGCCUAUCAGCUUGUUGGUGGGGUAAUGGCCUACCAAGGCGUCGACGGGUAGCCGGCCUGAGAGGGUGUACGGCCACAUUGGGACUGAGAUACGGCCCAGACUCCUACGGGAGGCAGCAGUGGGGAAUAUUGCACAAUGGGCGCAAGCCUGAUGCAGCGACGCCGCGUGGGGGAUGACGGCCUUCGGGUUGUAAACUCCUUUCGCUAGGGACGAAGCGCAAAUGACGGUACCUGGAGAAGAAGCACCGGCUAACUACGUG
RNAcentral lists this ribosomal RNA (465 nucleotides) under uncultured bacterium. Its description in RNAcentral is "partial 16S ribosomal RNA". It matches the Rfam family "Bacterial small subunit ribosomal RNA", at positions 28 to 507 of the family's 1533-position model. The record is from RNAcentral.